GCCGAUCAACUUCUCCACCAGAGAGAUGAACAAUACCGGAAGUUACAUUCCGUAGAUGCAACUUUCCAAAAGGCUUCAAGAGCUACAUUGGGCUAAAUACCCUUAGAGCCACUUGAAGAUGCAAUUGCAUCUCGCCAGAGUCGUGUAAAAAACCGAACCAAACACCUUUGCAUUUGGCCAAGGGACUUUAGAGCCCAAAUGAGCAUUCCAAAUACUGAACCAAAUGUGGCCGUUCUUCACCUAAGGUCCCCAUCUGCCGUCCUUUCUUCCCUUUUGUCUUUUUUCAUUUCUUUUCAUUACCUCUUUUUAUUUUCUUUUCUUUUCGUUUCCUCUUACUUUUCUUUUCCCUUUUGGUCGUCUUCUUCUUCGUGCAUCCCCUCUGCACGCCCGACGUUAUCCAAACCCGCUAGAGCCAAAGCAAACCCAGACCCAUUAAACUCAUCUAACUCAACCGAUCAAGACUCGCUGGAGCUCAAAACUCCAUAGACCAGAUUAAACCCAUCGUCCAGCAUGACUCAUUUAACAUUCCGCACCAAAGUAUGACUUCUAAAACAAAGCCCGCACUAACCAAAAGCAACGCCAUUUUCAAUUUGACCAAAAUAAGCCCAAAACCAUCUCCUAUUGGCCACUUUACUCAGCCUCGCACGGUCUUCUUGCUCCUGUUAUUGCAGAAGAAAAAAGGAGCCGAAGAUUGAAUAUGAACUCCGGGCAAUCAAAGGGCUGAUAACACCUCCAAACUCCAACAUAACCGAGACUCCAUCACCACCCGACCAUCAUCUACUCUCACUUAUGAACAUGCCAACAUUUACCACACAAAGGCCACAAAGGCACCGAACAAGACUCGACAAAGGGGAAAAGCACAUGGAACACAGAAAAAAAAAAAAACAUGUGUUGAGGUUAGUAAAAGAUCACCAUUAAACAAAACUAUCACUACACAUUUCAGCGACCAAAAAUCGGAGGAAAAUAUGUGCGAUCUUGGUUAAAACAUUUUGUCAAAUAAAUGGUCUGCAGUAGCUCUGUAAAACCCAACACGCACACGGACUAACAAAAGGAACAAGUCUUGGUUUCCUGGCUUGGCCAAACCAGGGUGAGGCACCAAAAGACUUGAGGAGCGAGCGCUUGGUCGUGGGGGUCCUUACCGGCUCGGAGACGGCGGCGGGAGGGCGAGCUCGAGAUGAAUCAAGCAAUGGCCGACCGCCCCCACAAUGUUUCCGAUUCGAGAUACUCGGGAGAAGGGAGGUUCGUACCAGAAAAAUGAAACUCACCGGAGGUUUGGGUACAGGGGUGACCAGAUCGGGACGACGAGGAUAACGAUCGGGAUCGUUGAACAAGACUCAGGCGCGCCAAUCGACCCGAGAACUCCUCGCUUUCAGUCGCUCUCUUCUUUGCCGAGAACAACACCAUCGCCAGGAUCUCUCUUGGAGAAACGCCAUCGCUAAAACUCGUCAACCACUACCCACGAUCAACGAGAUAAGGCUUCAUGGAAGACGAUCGGAAAAACUUGAACUCGAGGCAAGGGAAGCUGCGGCUUGUUGGUUCCGGUUAGGAGGCGCAACCUCGCGUCGGGGGUGGCUAAGCGACGCUCGGCUGAGGUGGAUUCCAGGUCUCCCUCUUCCCGGUCACUCUCCGUUUCUCCCCCUCUGGCUCCCUCAAGCUCUCUCCCUCUCUGUCUCUAUCUGUCUCUCUCCGCCCCCUUUUGGGAGCAACCGGCCGGCGCGCAUGGCCUCUGCCGCUGCCAGCUUGCCGGCCGGACUGCUCCCGACCCGCGGAUCACGCCGCCCGCCUGCCCCUCGCGAUCCCUUCUGCCUCUGUCCUUUUGCUAUGUUCCUUUGCUUCUUUU
This 1840-nucleotide long non-coding RNA is filed under the name Eucalyptus grandis. RNAcentral describes it as "long non-coding RNA (EGRA_LNC005981)". The record is from RNAcentral. Lineage: Eukaryota; Viridiplantae; Streptophyta; Magnoliopsida; Myrtales; Myrtaceae.